UUCUCUUUUACGAUAUCCUCAAUUUCUCCUCUGCAUCUCUCCCCUGAUUCCAUCUCCUUCAAUUCUCCCGGAUUCUGGACUCAUUCACGCUUUGAUCCAACCCAAUGCCGGGAGAAUUUGAAGACGAUGAGAGAGCCAGGGUUUUUGAACCUGAAUCCUCUGAAGAUGAGAGACGCCGAACUCGGUCUAAAUCUCUUAGGAAGAGGGCCAUCACUG
RNAcentral lists this unclassified non-coding RNA (216 nucleotides) under Hevea brasiliensis (rubber tree). The record is from RNAcentral. Lineage: Eukaryota; Viridiplantae; Streptophyta; Magnoliopsida; Malpighiales; Euphorbiaceae.